UAGCUAGUCAUGCCUUUCUUUAUCCCUGUUUAUCCUUUUAGACAUAAAGUUAAUUCCUAUGAUGAGAGAGACAAGGGAAAGCAAGUCAUGGAUAAAGCAUAAUAUUCACACAUUCGCCAUUGGUACAUGCAUUUCCAUAUCCUCGUAUAUACAUGAUAUUAUGAUAAAGAGGGAUUCAUAGAGUGAAAGAGAUAAGAGAGAAGCAGAGGUGUUGGUACAAAGCACAAUGAGCAAGAGCAAGUGGAUACCAGCACAAUAGCUUAUUAUUCACAAAGAGAAAGAAGGGUGGAUAUCGACUCAUCCUCCAGGCUGCACAAAGUUCUCUCUCUCUCUCUCUCAAUAUGUUGAUCAUUACUUUUCCUUUAUCUAAUGAAGUAAAUAAGGUUAUCCCAUCUCUAACAAUAUAGAUGAGGUGGUUUAUGUAAAUGCUUAUUCAUACAAUGAUAAACAAUCUGUAAAUUUCAUUGAAGACAAUGAUGAGCAAUUUAUAUGUUGGUUGCAUAUAGUGUAGCACCAUGGUGGUCGAGCUUCGAAAUGUGACUUUGCUCGAUAUUGGUGGGAGGAUAGAUGCAAAAAAACUUGGUUAAAAAUACACGUUAUAAUGUGUAUCUUGUGUUCAAGCUCAAAGAAGGGUCGAAGGGCCUAGAGUGAGCCAAAGCAAUAGUUAGGUUUGCUGAGGACAUAGCUCUAGGAAUAGAUCAUCAAGCUACAGAUGUAUUCCUCGUCAAUAAAACAGGAGCUAACGUUGGACAGGUUCCACGACCUCUAAACUAUGGGUGGAAAGAGAUUAAACUUGGAGAUUUCACCCUUGGCGAGGAAGAUAAAGGACAAGUAGAAAUGCGACUCUUUGAGAAGGAGGAACGCAAUCCGAAGUCUAGUCUUAUUAUCAUCAAAGGAAUUGAAGUUCGUCCGAAUUGAAUAAAACAAGUAUUUGUCCUAAUAUGAAGUUCUAAUAUUAUAAAUAAACCUGAUAAGUGCUAUUUCACGUGUGUUUCCAUGGUUUUCCCAUGGGUAAAAAACUUGUUUGGGUACUGAACUAAUAUGAUAGCUUCUAUUUAGUCAUUGAUCUUUUGCAUUC
Molecule: long non-coding RNA, 1078 nt
Organism: Olea europaea var. sylvestris
Lineage: Eukaryota; Viridiplantae; Streptophyta; Magnoliopsida; Lamiales; Oleaceae
Exons: 2
Source: RefSeq, a predicted model, not a curated record